UGCAACAAAAUGUCCAACGUAAAAUGUAGGUUCUGUCGGUCGAGGAAGCGUUAUGGCCUCACUACCCAACAUGGCAACAACAGUUGACAUAGUUGGUUUGUUUUCUAGAUCUACUGGCACGUAUAAUAACCCAAUUUUAAUGCAUUUAAGCACUUCAAUUGGCACACUUGAACCAGCAAGAUGCACAUCUAUUAGUUCCAUUCCUUCAUCUUUUGACCAUAAUUUCCAUGCCUACAAUUAUUACAUAGAAUUAGCCUAAUAUAUAUAACAUAGUGUUAAUCUAUUCAUUGAAUAUAGAACAUGAAACAUACAAAUGUCAAAAGGCUUACACCACGUUGUGAGUGUUAGAGUUGUGUGACCCAAAUCCCAUCAAUUGUUAAAGAAAUAAAAUACAGUGGCAAAAUAAGGGGAUCUGUGGGAGCAAAAUGUCUCAGGCGUUUGGCUCGAGGUCAAAGCCUAAUAUAGAUUCCCAUUAAGCAUAAAACUAUAUUGAGAUUACGACAGAGGAUGCAGGAGCGAAGCCAAAGUGAUACGGACCAUGCCACACAAGUAGAAUCUGUACAGAACUACACUUCUUCUAUUCGACAUUAAUUAGAAUAGGAUUUUUCAACCACUAAAUAGAUGUAGUUGAAACUCCUCUUAUAUCAUUUGAUUUUCAACAUUAGUGAAUUUCUCUUUCUCUACCCGUGGUUUUUCCUGAAAGGGUUUUUCGCAUAAAAUCUGUGUAUUUUAUUUUUCUUUUCUUAUUAUUUUAAGAUCGUUCUAUUACCAUUAUCGACGUUAGUUUUAACAGUAAGAGAUGAAACUGUUAUUUCUUUUUCCACUUAUAAUCUCCAACAAAAGGAUUCAAAAACUAAAAACAUCUUAUUUGAUAGAAAAGAGUCAUUCCAUAGCAUACUUGGGUGCCAUGUAUCCACUAUUUUAGCCCAUAAAAAUCAAAGAAAGAUUAAAAAAAGAUUAAAUAAUCAUAAAUAACUUCAAAACUAUUCUUCAAUGUGUAUCAAUCAAAUAAAAGAUACAUUCAAUAAUAAACCAUGUUGGUUUUGUUAACUACUAACCAUGAAACAUACACUAAUUCAUUACUUGCACAUGAUCCUUCUAACUUGCAUGACUUUGAUGUAGAGGAUGAAUCUUUUUUUUUUCUUUUAACAAGUUAAAUGUUAAUUCUUUGAAGAUUUUGAUAUAUCUCGUUAAGCUGAAAUUGGAAACAAUAAAGAAUAAAAUGUCAAAUUACAAAAGAAACAUUAACUCCAUAGUUUUGAGACAACAAGUUGGGAAGAAUCCAUAAGACCUACUAUGUUCCGAUUACUCUUUUUGUAUUUGCUUCAUUUUGAUCUAUACAAAAAAAUGUUGCCAUACCAAAGUCUUAAUUUUUUGUAUUCAUCUCAUGAUCAAGUAAAAUAUUACUUGCUUUAAGGUUUCUGUGGAUAACUCUAACAUAAGCAGCCUCAUGCAAAUACAUGAUACCUCGAGCAAUUCCAUUAAUAAUAUUAAAUCACUUUUUUCAAGAUAGUUGUGUAGCCAAACUUGAAUUUAAUAAACACUCCAAAAAAAAGAGAGAGAAAAAGAAAUUACUAGUUAAAUAUUCAAAUUCAUUCGGUUGUAUAAAGAAAAUGUUGGUAUUUAAAGGUUUAAGGCUCAAACCAAAUAGGAACAUGUCAAGGCUUCUAUUGGGCAUGAAUUCAUACACAAGUAACUUUUCAUUUUCCUCUAAGAAACAUCCUAAGAGCCUCACAAAUUGUAAUUUGGCAAUUAACUUGAGUUCAAUUUUGAACUCAAGCAGCCCUUUGAUUAGUAACUGCAAUUUUGUUUCCAUUUGCUAGUUUGUCCUAACCGAAUCUUUCGGCAUUUAAAAUAGAGGUAUUUCACAUCUAUAAAUUUGGAAAACCCCAAAAAAAAUCUUCCAACUAACAAGUCGUUUCCCGAGCCAAUUCCUAAUACCAAUGAGUUUAUCUUGAAAUUUUAUUUCAUUUUAUUUCAUUAGUUUUCUUCUAAAUAUAAUAAUUUUAUAACCCUUUGAUUUAUAAAAUUUUGGCUAAAAAAUGGAAAAACCUUAAAAAAAGCACUUUAGAAUUACUCUUGUUGUCAACAUAAUGAUAUUUCCUUCAAGGUACAUAGAAAUAGUUUCCGAACUUAGUCCUUGAAAUUGGAAAGUAAAUUCAAAGUUAAAAAAUAUGGCUUUAAAUAAUCCAAUUGUUCAAUCAAUAAUUAUAUAAGAAAAAUUAUGAACAUUUAAUUUUUCAUAAGAAAAAAGUGUGAAAGAACUAAUUGAAUUUCCUUUUGGUACAUUGAUAACGAUUUUUUAAAAUUUAUGAACUAAUUAAGAGACUAUUAUGUGUUCUAUUUAUUUUUAAUUAUUUGCUUUUAAAUUUUAAAUCUGCAAUAAGCAAUGUGUAUCACUAAUAAUCUGAUUUUGUGUCAAAUCGUUUACCAAAUUAAUUAAAAACUAAAGUUAUGCUAGUCAAAGUGAAAAAAAAAUAUUUUUUUUACAAAUAUAAAAUUAUUUUUAUAAUUUUAUUAUAUAUUAUAUUUUAAAUUUUGUAUUUUCUAUUAUUUUAAUAGUGUUUAGUUAAGUUCAAUCACUAACUUAAAGAAAAAAAAGUUAUAUAUCGAAUUAGAUCAUUUCAACAAUAAAUGAAACACUUGAUAGAUUAGGAAUGCCUCUAUUUUAAAAGUUGAAAAGUUUGGUUAGGAUGUUUGAGGAUCAAAUUGAUUGAAUUUGUAAAUGUGAAGGGUUAUAUUUAUUGAAUUAUUUAUAAUUAAGAUCAAAUUGAUAGGAUAUGUAAGUAGUGAGGAUUAAAUGUGUUAUUAUACUAGUUAGAGAAAGUCUUUCCAUUAUUAAUUUAAUUGUGGGUGACCAAAAUAAAAACAAAUUGAAACAUUAAUACCUAAAUUGAAAACUUUUAAAGUGAGAUGGUCAGGAGAAGAACAAAUAUAUUUAGUUGACUAUUUGUAUGACUUACCCAUUUAUUUUAUAUUUAUUUUUAUGAAAUUAUAUUUUAUGUAUUGUUUGUGCAUAAAUCCUAUACACCGUUAGUGAUUCAUAAUUUGUCACCUCAUUGAUGAACAAAAUAAAAAAUAUUAAAGGACUUAUAAAUAAAUAGCCAGAAAUGUAUUAAAAUUAUAAAUCUUCAAAACAUUGUCUCUUUAUUCAAAUCUCAUCUCAACCAAGAAGGCAAAUGUAGAACCCGAAAAUCGGUAUGCUUGACGAGGGACCACCGUCCUCCACCAUGGUACCGCCGUUCUCCAAUGACUGCAACAACUCUUUGAGCAAACAUCACUAAUUCUUUUUAGGGAUAUUUAUUUUAGUUCCUUCCUUACGAAAACCCCCCAACUGCUUCACCAAUUUCAUCUAAUGAUUUCCUCGGCCAUUCUCGCUCAAUAACUUUGUGGUCAUUUUGGAGGCCAUCACUCUUUCUUCGCUGCAGCUAGAGGUUAAAAAUCCCAUCCAGCAAGUUUAAAUUUCCUGACGAACUCAUGGUCAUUGAUUUUUUCGAUAAAUACUCGAUGACAAUCACGGAUUUGUCAUGCUUUGUAACAAGAGAAGGUUAAGAUCGGAGUCGAUUGUGGUAAAACUGCUCUUAACAACAGAGAGAGCCGUCACUCUAAACAUUAGAAAACACUUGAAAACUCACACUCUUGAGUUACAUUUGAAAGGAAAACGGUGGUAUAGUUUAAUUAGGGUUGACUCCAACUGAAGAUAAAUGCUUCAUCUCCAUAAUUUUUGAAAACUGCAUUAACAAAAACAAAAUAAUACCAAAUUAUAAACUUUUAAAAUAAGAAGAAAGAAAAAGAGAGGUUGUGGAGGAAAAUGACGAGGCACAAUCUUCCAAGUCUGAAAUGUGAAGAUUUUGGUAAGGGUUUUCAGAGAUAAAUAAGGCGACGAUGUGCGAGUGCCACAUUAUCACUUUUUAAUAUUAAAAUGUGUGACUGAAAUUCAAAUUUGAGAAUUAAUGUAAGUAUCAAAUUAGAAAAAAUUAUCAAAUCCAUCAAUUAACAUACGUAAAAAAAAACAACAACAAAAAUCAUUACAAUAUAAUGAAAGAAAAUCUCUAGUUGUUUUAUUGAAAAGUUGCAAAACGUUUAGUAUUUUACAUCCAAUAUAAAAUAGCAUAUUAACAAUUUUUGAAAAGCAUCAUGCAAUAACUAAUCAAUCAUCGAGUUGAAAUGUUUGAAAUCGUAACCUCAUUAACAGAAAAUAUUCUAUCAGUGAAACUGAGUUGAAUUGGUUCUGCAACAAAAUGUCCAACGUAAAAUGUAGGUUCUACUGGUAGAGGAAGCGUUAUGGUCUCACUUCCCAACAUGGCAACGACAGUUGACAUAGUUGGUCUAUUUGCUGGAUCUACUUGCACACACAAUAAACCAAUCUGAAUGCAUUUAAGCACUUCUGUUGGCACACUUGAACCAGCAAGAUGCUCGUCUAUUAGUUCCAUUCCUUCACCUUUUGACCAUAAUUUCCAUGC
Molecule: long non-coding RNA, 4463 nt
Filed under: Gossypium barbadense (sea-island cotton)
Lineage: Eukaryota; Viridiplantae; Streptophyta; Magnoliopsida; Malvales; Malvaceae
Description: long non-coding RNA (GBAR_LNC017197)
Source: RNAcentral